GUCCUAAUGCGGCCCGCUGGCGUGCGCCAGCGGACGGUGACAAGCCCGUGCGAACGCAGAGUCAGGAU
This 68-nucleotide non-coding RNA is filed under the name unclassified sequences. The record is from RNAcentral.